RNAcentral lists this long non-coding RNA (547 nucleotides) under Naja naja (Indian cobra). Its description in RNAcentral is "lncRNA (ENSNNAG00000007539.1)". Lineage: Eukaryota; Metazoa; Chordata; Lepidosauria; Squamata; Elapidae. The record is from RNAcentral.
GCACUUCAGAAACCAAGUGUGCCAUCAACUACCUGAUUGGAGAAGUGGUUGCCUCUAAAGUGGAGAAUGGGAAAAUCGAAAGCCUCCUUCAGCAGAACAAAGCCACCUGCGCCGACCUCCACAAGAUGCUUCAGGAAGAGCGGAAGGAGGCUGCCAACUCGGAGGCUGACCUGGAGAGGCGGCUGGUGCAGGUUGAGCAGGAGUAUCAAGAGAAGAUCCUCUACCUGCUCGACAAAGUCCAGCAACAGGAGAAAGAAGGCAAAAGUCUGGAAAGGACCCUGACUUCCAAAAGGGAGGAGGAGGAGCUUCUGGAACACCUCCGUUUCCAGGAUGAAGAGAUUGGAAAGAUGAAAGAGGGGUUGGAAAAACAUGAAAUCUGCCCAACGCCAGAAGCCCUGAAGCAGGAGGAGUUCAAGGUUCUCCAGGCUACUAACGGACAGAAGGCCUGCAAACGUUCCAGCUCUGGAGAAGUUUUUGACUCCCCUUUGGAACACAUCCCUCCCAAGCCAAAGCUUCACCGCAGCGUUCUCAGGCCCACAGAGUUCUC